GGCCCCCUAGCUCAGUUGGUUAGAGCAGCGGACUCAUAAUCCGUUUGUCGUAGGUUCGAGUCCUACGGGGGCUA
Molecule: transfer RNA, 74 nt
Filed under: Fidelibacterota bacterium
Lineage: Bacteria; Pseudomonadati; Fidelibacterota
Also listed under: 1 other name
Description: tRNA-Ile
Rfam family: tRNA
About the family: Transfer RNA (tRNA) molecules are approximately 80 nucleotides in length. Their secondary structure includes four short double-helical elements and three loops (D, anti-codon, and T loops). Further hydrogen bonds mediate the characteristic L-shaped molecular structure. tRNAs have two regions of fundamental functional importance: the anti-codon, which is responsible for specific mRNA codon recognition, and the 3' end, to which the tRNAs corresponding amino acid is attached (by aminoacyl-tRNA synthetases). tRNAs cope with the degeneracy of the genetic code in two manners: having more than one tRNA (with a specific anti-codon) for a particular amino acid; and 'wobble' base-pairing, i.e. permitting non-standard base-pairing at the 3rd anti-codon position.
Source: RNAcentral